This 1638-nucleotide long non-coding RNA is filed under the name Chinchilla lanigera (long-tailed chinchilla). RNAcentral describes it as "lncRNA (ENSCLAG00000025594.1)". Lineage: Eukaryota; Metazoa; Chordata; Mammalia; Rodentia; Chinchillidae. The record is from RNAcentral.
GUUCUGUCCAGUUUAUAUCGUAUAUACAAUAUGUUACCUGGGGCACAUACACUAUGUAUGAUAGUGUUUAGCUUUGUGUUUAGUAUAGUCUGUUUAUACUCUCCAUAGAUCUGCUCAUCUGGUAGACUUGAGAUUAAAUGCCCAACAAUAUACAACAAAGAAUGAUCGAGGUGCCAGAGUUACAUUGUUGAGGUUUUAACAAAGUGGCAGAGAACAUCCUUUUGCUACUCUCAGCCACGACUUCACAAAUUGACCUUGGCACAGGCAGAAAGACACACUGUGUGAUCUACUGUAAAGGCUGGAAGAGUGAAAAUGUAUAUUUGAGAAGAGGCUUGAUGUUUUAUGUGGCUCCAAUAUGUUUGGUGAUAUUUUCCCAGUCUUUACUUUUCUCCUUUUUGACAGACACAGCACACGUGUGGAGAUUUCCCAUCCUGAGUCCCCCACUUCCAGUUGUAUAAAUUGCAUAAAUUCUCAGAGCGAGGAUGUUGAGAGUGUGGAUCUGCAGCUGAGGCUUCACCCAGGAACGGAAGGGAGGCAGAUUCUCAACCCCACCACCUACCUACUUGAAUCAGAGGCUCCGGAGGUGGUGCUGUCAUUGAGAGUUUGUGCAGUUUCCAAGGAGAUUUUGCAGCAAAACUAAGUGAGUAUCAGCACCCUGAGAGGGGCCACAGGUCUACAGUUAACAUUCUACUUAUAGCUUUCUAAUCUCUUGUAACUCACUUCUCCAAAUUGUAUAAAGCUCAGGACUCUCAUCUGGGUCCAUUUCUGGUCUUAACUUUCCCCUCUAACAUUAAAGUCGAGUUUGUUUGAGCCUAUGCAACUUUACAUCUCAUGCAAAUUGUGUGAUUUGGCUAAAAUGUUUGAACUCGACAUGGAACAACAUGAAAAUGUGGGUUACAUGUAGAGAUAGAGAUUCAUAUAUAUACCAAGAACUGAACCUCCAGCUUUCAGUGCACGUGUUCUACAGCAUUGCCCUGGGCUCACAUUGUUCUACAUUGCCCUGGGCUCACAGAUCGGCUACAGCCUGGCACUGUUUGAGGUUGGAAGAGGCCCAGGAAUCAGGCCUCUGAAAGCUGCCACUGCAAACCAGGUAUCUUGAGUGCAGCCACCAUCCCACUUCCACCAAGAUGUCCAGGCCUCCUUGGCUGAAGGGCUCUGCCUGCUUCAUCCAGGUGAAGCUGCUGCGAGGUGAUGCCUGAGUUACCAGUCCACCACAGUUGCAUAAAGACCAGGAGCAGGUUAAGGCAGAAUUGCAAAAUGAUGUUGCUGUCAUAGCCUUGAGGCCCUCCAAUCCCUACACCGACAAGGAAAUACCCAGCGGGUAAGUAGGAGUUGGUGGACAUAGAACAUGAUGUGGAACUCUGUUAUGGUUUGGAUCUUGAAUCACCCCCAAAGUCUUCCUAAUGUGUUAGGGUCUUGGCCCUCAGCUGACGGUGCCACCUGGAAGCCAAGCCCUUGGAGGGGACACUGAGACCCUGACCCUUCCUCUUUCUUUUAGCUUCCCAAUUGCCAUGAGGUGAGCAGGUUUGUCCUGCCACACGACCCCCACCAGGAUGGAACCCAGUGACCACGGACUAAAUAUGAAACCUUGAGGCAAUGUAAGUCUUUCUUCCUUCUAAGUUGAUUAUCUCAGGUAUU